AAAUGAGAAGAAAUCUCGAAGGAAAAUCCGACGAGGAAGUAGAGUUGCCUGCGCAGGAUGUCGCACACAACAAAUGCAGGAUGUGCGCACCGCGUGCAAGUCCCAUCCUACAGCACGCCCGCACGGGACGUGCGCACAGUGUGCACGCGCGCACAUCCCUUCCGCACACACGACACGAGGAUAAGUCCUGCGCAUAAGCUGGUCAUUCGUGUGUCACCUCACGUGCAGACAAGUGCUGCACACUGUGCAC
RNAcentral lists this long non-coding RNA (250 nucleotides) under Carica papaya (papaya). RNAcentral describes it as "long non-coding RNA (CPAP_LNC013278)". The record is from RNAcentral. Lineage: Eukaryota; Viridiplantae; Streptophyta; Magnoliopsida; Brassicales; Caricaceae.